RNAcentral lists this long non-coding RNA (902 nucleotides) under Nicotiana benthamiana. RNAcentral describes it as "long non-coding RNA (NBEN_LNC021018)". Lineage: Eukaryota; Viridiplantae; Streptophyta; Magnoliopsida; Solanales; Solanaceae. The record is from RNAcentral.
CGAGGAAGUAUAUAUUAUAGCAAUCGCGCUUAAAGUAUAAAUGAAAGGAGUGGAACAAAGUGUCGCUUCGGGAAACAUGGGUAUUGAAAAUCUUAAAAACCCGUAGGUUCCCAAUUUUAAAGCAAUUCCUGCCAAGAUGACGGAUCCUGCCGUAGGUGCCUCUACAUGAGCUUCGGGUAACCAAAUAUGAACUGGUACCAUAGGCACUUUGACGGCGAAAGAGGCGAAAGAAGCAAUCCAUAGAAAGAUUUGGCGCCGCUCACUAAAUUCUGUGGUUAAUGAGAUUUGUAAAUCGGUUGUUCCUGUUUGGAGAAGAAUCAACAGAAUAGCUAAUAGCAUAAAAACAGAUCCAAGUAAAGUAUAAAGGAACAACUGAUAUGCUGCCUUGAUCUUUCUUUGUCUCGAACCCCAUACCCCUAUAAUAAUGGUAGAGUCAGGGGUGGCCCCAAAGCGGAAUUGACCGGUGGUGCUUGGUCGAAGCUCCAGUAGGUAGCCACUCCCUUCUCAGAGAACCGUACGUGAGACUUCCGCCUCAUACGGCUCCGUCCCGAGCUUCCGUCGUCGGCCUUGGCAUUAAACCACUAUCUAUGCAUGUAUUUUCAGCCUGGACUGACGAAUCUUUUGCUUCUCGGGUGGUGUCGAACAAUGGUGCUUGCGUUGCGGGAGAUGCCCGCCCGUAGGGCCCGGCCUGCUUCCCGCCCGAAAGAACCGCUCACUAGCUAGCCGGACUAGUGGGGCCCUAUCUGGAGACAUACUGAAAACCAUGCCUUUCGAACCGAACGCAAUGCCCGUCUUCCAAAUAAAAAAAAGGGCUCGUUGGGAAGAAAGAUUACGUGCGGCCUGUAGAGCACAUGUAAGGCACAGUCGGGUUGCUCACGCAGCGGAUCUCUCUCUAUCUAUAG